CUUUGCAUAAAUUAUAUAAUCUUUUAUCUCAAUGCACAAUUUCUCAACACAUGGUGGCUAAACGUUUACAAUCUCCUGUAAAUGAACUAUAGUAUGUGAACCAUUUGAAAUUUCGGUGUCAUAUUGUUACAGUAUAAUCCAGUCAGAAAUUAGAAUGCCCUUGUUGGGCAAUGGACUAUUUUAAAACUUCAUCACCAUCGUACCUACACACAUAUAAGUGUUGUUCAGUAAAUAACCAUUUAUGUAUCAACUAAAUUCAGUAAAGGACUAUUACUAUGAGAAAAUCAAGUGUUGUUCAAAAAAGAAAAGUGCCCAUUAUCACUUCAGUUAUAACUGCUACUGCUAGCUGCUCUUGCUUCCCUUCGCAUUGUAAGGGUGUUGUAUUUAGCAACAAAACCUUGCAUAUCAAAUUAUAUGGAGAACAUAUGCUGCAAUGAACCAUUGACUGAUCUAAAAACCAACAUUGGCAUCCAAACUGGCCCAGCUCUCCAUCUAAAAAUAAUCUUAAAUAACAAAUAAAAAAAUUGCAACAUUAAGUGAAUUUGGGCUGAAGUGAAUUUGCCUUUGGUUGACCAAUAUUCUUCGUAUUUUUAUUCCAAUAUUCUUCAUGUUUGGUUGACCAAACACCAUCUCAUAUUAUGAUUUAUGAAGCGAUCAUUUAGUAACACCACAAUAUCCCAAAGUAGCAGGCAUUUUAUUUUCCUAAAAAGAAGUAGCCGACAUAUUCUUAAGCUUCUGUACAAGCUUUGCAAAGAAAUUUUAUAACCCCUCUAGAUUGUCUGAGCAACAGUACUGAUUCCAGAUUGCCGGUUGUAUCUCAAAUUGAAAUCAUAAGUUAAAUACUUGUGACAACCUACCCAGAAAGUCUCAAUCUCAAGUAUCAUUGCUUCCAAAUAAAUUACUGUGAUGCAACAACAGUAACUCGUAGAUGGCAACCAGAAUGAAAUUGUAUCAAAACGGACCAAAUCUUGCCAAUAAACCCAACACAUAAUAGAAUUAGACCUUGCAAUUAUGGCAAGUUACAGUCAUCAAAUUUAUCUGCUCUAAUUCGCAACAAGAAAACUUUGAUUUGUGAUAUGAUGAUGACCAGGCAGCCAAGGAGAAGUGGACAUGCAAGAGAGGAGUCGUGACUUGGCGACCAUGGUUGUUCUCUGCACAUACCUUGAUGCGGUGUUCGUCCUCCACCCCAGCAUCCUGCGUGUCCCGUCCUUGCCUCCCCGCGCCUUUCACACGACAUAUCUUCAACCUCCUAACCAUCUUUGAUGCACUGACGCUGAGUUAAGAAAUCUGCCAGGAAUGACAUCGGAAAUUAAUAGUCAAGCACAAUCCUUGAGAUAACAUGGUUAUCGUAAAAGUAUCAAUAUCUAUCAGGAGAUCAAACCUACUAAUUUAAACCACGCUUCAAAUCUUGUGCAACUUCUCC
This 1423-nucleotide long non-coding RNA is filed under the name Triticum aestivum (bread wheat). RNAcentral's name for it is "long non-coding RNA (TAES_LNC026428)". The record is from RNAcentral. Lineage: Eukaryota; Viridiplantae; Streptophyta; Magnoliopsida; Poales; Poaceae.